RNAcentral lists this ribosomal RNA (501 nucleotides) under uncultured bacterium. RNAcentral's name for it is "bacterial SSU rRNA". It matches the Rfam family "Bacterial small subunit ribosomal RNA", at positions 28 to 521 of the family's 1533-position model. The record is from RNAcentral.
GACGAACGCUGGCGGCGUGGAUUAGGCAUGCAAGUCGAACGGUAUCAUCCUUUCGGGGGUGAGAGAGUGGCGAACUGGUGAGUAACACGUAGGUUAUCUACCCUCAAGACGGGGACAACCCAGGGAAACUUGGGCUAAUACCGGAUGUGAGCAACUUUUAGUUGUUUGAAAGGUGGCGUAAGCUGUCGCUUGGGGAUGAGCCUGCGUCCUAUUAGUUAGUUGGUGAGGUAACGGCUCACCUAGGCAAUGAUAGGUAGGCGGCCUUAACGGGUGGUCGCCCACACUGGGAUUGAGAUACGGCCCAGACUCCUACGGGAGGCAGCAGUUGAGAAUAGUCUACAAUGGUCGGAAGACUGAUAGUGCGACGCCGCGUGAACGAUGAAUCCCUUCGGGGUGUAAAGUUCUUUUAUAUGUGAGCAGUGCUUCUUAUAUUAACAGUAUGGGGAGAGAGAUAUUAGCAUAUGAAUAAGCAACGGCUAACUCCGUGCCAGCAGCGGCGGU